ACUUAAAUAGCUUAUAUAAUUAGAGCAUAAUAUUGAAGAUAUUAAGGAAAUAUAAUUAUUUUUAAGUA
RNAcentral lists this transfer RNA (68 nucleotides) under Staphylinidae sp. BMNH 1274220. RNAcentral describes it as "tRNA-Phe". Lineage: Eukaryota; Metazoa; Arthropoda; Insecta; Coleoptera; Staphylinidae. The record is from RNAcentral.